Molecule: ribosomal RNA, 119 nt
Filed under: uncultured bacterium
Lineage: Bacteria
Description: partial 16S ribosomal RNA
Rfam family: Bacterial small subunit ribosomal RNA
Source: RNAcentral
UACGUUCCCGGGCCUUGUACACACCGCCCGUCACACCACGAAAGUCGGCAACACCCGAAGCCGGUGGCCUAACCCCUUGUGGGAGGGGACCGUCGAAGGUGGGGUUGAUGAUUGGGGUG